Molecule: non-coding RNA, 4438 nt
Organism: Pseudonaja textilis
Lineage: Eukaryota; Metazoa; Chordata; Lepidosauria; Squamata; Elapidae
Source: RefSeq, a predicted model, not a curated record
AAUUGCCCUGCAAUAACAUCUGAUGUAUUUAAUAAAAAUGGAGGGUAAUUAUUUCCAAACAGAAAUGUGCACAGUCCUAUCUGUGUAUAAAUGAUCUGGUUUGGGUUUCAGUGUGUAUGGAUCCAAGGCAAGAGAGAUAGGAAACUGACAGCGGUUGGUAUGUGCUGCACUUUGACAUUGUCAGUGACUGAAAGGAGGGACAGAGAAACUAGAAAUUUGAAGAUGAGAUAAUGGGAUAAACCAUGCCGAGAUUAUUGAGAGAAUGAAAGAAGGGAAGAGGAGAUGUAAUGUGCUUAACCUUUGCUUAUUCACCCUGUCUGGAUUUUAUUUUGUCCCAAGCCUGGAAACAAGCAUUUUAGGGUCCAGUUCUGCCAAAGCAUGCUUGGCUCCAAAUGAAUUCCUGAAAACACAGUGGUUUUGUUCAAUGUUCAAAAGAAAGCAUUUGUGUUGUGCAAACCCCUUACCUCCCACACAUCUUUCAGUAAUUAUAUGUUCAAUGUGGGAUUAAAUUAUGUCUUUUACUUGUGAAAUAGCCAUUGCUGCAGUCACAUGGUGAAUAGCACAUUAUCUUAGCUUUUCCCUAGCCACAUUGUUAAGCUUCUUUAAGUAUACUGUAGAUCUCACAAUAUCAAUAAACUUUGUCCUGAAUAGUAGACCAUGUUUAACCCAACAAAAAAAAAAGAACAUCAAGUUGUUAUAAUCAAAUAUGAAGAGCUGUGCUCAGAUAACUAACUCUAUGUGUUGUACUUGAAAGAAGACUGGAGAUAUUCAAUCUUGUAUUUGACAAGAGGGUGUGUACAAAUUUUGAUAAGCCUUUGCACCAUGGUUGUGUCAUGUGCAUGUAAUGUUUCUAUAUUCGAUAUGGAUUUAUUUUCUGGAAUUUAAGCAACUGGCUGGCAACAAUUUUCUAGCAUCAACUGCUACUGAACAAAACCUUUAGGACUGAUGGAAAGUGAUUUUGAUCUGCAACUGUUUUCUUUCUGAAUAGAAACAUGCAAGAAGUUAAAUACAAGAAGCUAAUCCUGAGAAGAAUGCCCUUCCUGAGGUUUUGUUGUUUUUCUUGAAAACGUGCCAAUUUGCCAUCAAAAUUCAACUAUGAUGGAAAUUCCUACACUUCAGCAAAUGAAUUUGAGAGACAUCUUGGUAGUACAUGUAAUAUUUGCAACACAAGUAGAAUGUAACUAUAGACGUGUGUGUACAUGUGAACAAAAUAAGAAUCAAGAUUAAUGGAAGCUGAAUAAACGUAGACAAUAUAGGAAUAAUCCAUACAAAAGUAGUAGCUGGAUAUUUGAUCAUAUAGAAUGAAGAUCAAAUCACAGAGGAUAGAAAAAUGUGGAUUUACGUAAGCACGAUUUUCUUUCUUUCCUGUCUAUAAUUUGUUUUGCUUGCCAUUUGCAGUUUGAAUAUUGCUUAUCCCAAAAUGGAACACUUGAUAGUUUGUGGGGAAACACCCAUGGCAUAUUUAGAGUUGUCGUAAAAAUGCUGACUGUACAGGUAGGCCCAGCCCGAAAUACACAUUAAGCAGAUGGCAGGUAGGUGAGAUUCUUUCAUCACGUUCAGGAAAGCCAGUUUCCAACUUCUCUUUUGUCGUUCUCUCUUUCAGGCACCGACACUUCAAAACAAGGUGGAGUCUUCCACCAUUAUUAUUAAAAAAAAUUAUAAUGGGGGAUAUGUUAGGAAAGUCUAGAAAUUAAGGUGCUGGCAUCUGACAAUUUGCUCCAUUGAUGUGCUUGCUGCCCAGUUAUUUUUUUUAAUUAAGAAUCUAAAAUAAUGCUGAAACUAGUGUAGGAGGGAAUCCAGUGAUGCCAAGGUGUCUAGGAACACAUUAAUAACUUGUGCAUCACUAUGCCUAUCCUUGCUCCACGCUAUGACAGAAAUUAAGGCAAUGCCUUUUAAAGGCUUACUGAACAAAAGCACCAGAAGGCAUCUAUUUAGGUGCUUCUACUCUCUAAGAAGCCUUAAAUUAACUGAAACAUUAAAAAUUGCAAUUUAAAUAUUUUGAUGCAGCAAGGCGUAGAAUGCUCAUAAAAAUGUUUUGCUAAUGCCUUCCUGCUGUUCUAUAGAAAUGAUUAUUACUUUACAAUAACGUUGCCUUGACAGUGUAUAGUCCUUUCGUAAUACAGUCAGGAUGAAUGUGCAUAACUGCUCUCAAUUAUUUACGGAGGAGCAUAAUUAAAACUAGUGUUGACUUAACUACAACAGCAAAGUCAGAUGAUGCAUAUGAGACAUGUUCCAGUGUUAAUGUUUUGAUUUCACUAUAAAUUUGUUGCUUGGUGAUUAACAUUUGCUGAUUAUUCCAGUCACAAACCUACCAUUAGAGUAUACUGGAAAGCUUACAAUAUCCCUCUCAUGCUAGAUAACAUCAAAGGAAGGAAGGCAAAGGUGCACAUAAAAUUGCAUUAGUUAAAUUAGGGAUUUCGGAACAGAAGUGUAUUGUUUUUGUUGUUCAUUCUGGAAUUUCCGGUGGGGGGGACUUCAUUAUACAAAUGAAAUUUAAAGUAAUUGUUUCAUUUCAUCACUGUAUAAUUGCUAAGCCACAAGUUGUGUCCUACAUAACUGUGUAAAAGCUGGACACACGUAAGCAGUGAAAACCUCAAAAUUACAUACAAAUAGUUAUUUGUAUUUAGAUAAAACUGGCAAAAGCAUUUCUUAAAAAAAAACCACAUGUAUCAGAGUAAUUUAUCCUCAAUUAAAAAAAAAAUCAUACUUUAUGUAAAUGAAUUACCCAAGAACACUUAUAGCAAACAAGCCAGAUCUAUUGCUUAGCAACUCAGCAAUUUGUUAUUGGCCAAUUCCACUUGAUAGAAGAUUAUACUGAGCCCUGUUUUCCUCACUUUCACCUAUGAAACAAGCUGGUUCCUCCAUUCAAGUAAAUAGAUCAGCUUCAAGCAAGAUGCAUUCAUGGCAUGGCUGAAGCCAAAUGUGGAAGGCUGGCACACUUUAGGCAUGCAUUAUUAAGAAAAAAAUCUUAAGAUAACAAUGGAAAACUCAUAUCAAAAUUAAGUAAAAUAGUAACGUUCCCAGGAUCUGUACUGAAUAAUAAAAGGUAAAAUAUUCAACAUAAUUCUGAAUAUUUGCAUCUCAAGCAUCUAGAGAUUGUGUCAUAAAAAUAAAAGGAACAGCAAAAUAGUUCUGAAAGAGGGCACCUGUUGUAGAUUAUUAAUUAGCAGAGUUAACUAUGGUUGUCAAGGUUCUGUUUUUGUUGUUAAAAUAUUUAAUGCCCUCCAAUUAAAUGUAAAAAAAUUUAUUCAAUCUAGUCCAAUAUGUGAUCACAACAGAAACAUUAAACAGCACAACAGAAUAAUGGUUUUGCUACUGAAUUAAAAAUAAUUCCACAUUAUUCACAGUACAUUUGAGUAAGAAGAUACAGAAUAGUUUCUGAAGUUUAACCAUAGAAUAAAUUUCAAAUCCAUACACUGCACCAGGUGACAUGAGACUAUGUGUUAUCUGUUAAAAAAAAAAUCCAGCAGGUAACAAAGGGCUAGUGUUCAUACCAAAAAUAACACUCACAAGACUUUUCCUCAAAAGAAUUUUACAAAGUAUUUAUAGCACUGAAGAUCCUUGAAGAAAUCCAGCAGUUUGCAAAUACCUCUCUCUCUCUGUAAUUCCAGAGUCCAACUGAAUUAAACUUGUAAUUCUUUUCAGUAGUUAGAAGAUACAACUAGUAUUCUAUACUUCAUAUUUCUUCACGUACUUUAAUACUGGAAUACUACUUGGUCAUAAUAUACAUUUUCUACAUUUUUAAAAUAGUACAUUUCUAUAGCUAAAAUAAUGUCCACUUCAGAAAAUCAUACUUUGUUAGCAUACAUUAUUGCAAAUGAACAUGAAGCCCAUUUUGUUUAAUUUCUGAUGAAGAUUUAUUUACCAAUUCUUAAAAAGAAUAACUUUCUAUCAUUUACAGUGAAUAUUACACUGUUGAAUCUAGCAUUAUCUAGUUCUCCAAUGCUGCUGAUACAAAUUGCCACCAGUAAUCCCAGGAAUUGGAAUUGAUUACAUAAAUAUGACUUCACACUGAUAAGCUUAUUUCUUUUGUUGAGAAAAAGAUAGCUCAAGUACCAUUCCUAAAUCUCAACUCUUUAUGUUAUAAGAAACCCAUUCUGUUUACUAGAAAAGGGUUUCUCUAUGUCUGCAUGUAGAAUUAGGACCACUACUCCAAGUAUUUGCUGGGAGGUUCCAUCAAAAUCAAAGACACUUAGAAAUUGUAUUCUCAAAACAAAACCAGUAAAGUGCCAGAUGUCAUAGGAGUAAAAUAUUAAAACAAUUUCUAUUUAAAAAAGCCCUACUAGUAAAUACAAUUUGUAUUAUGUUUAUAGUUUCCUGAAUACUUUUGGAAGUAUAGGCAGAAUACUUCUACAUAUAGCUGCAUGUUAUCAGUCCUGGUUUUGAAUCUUACUUUUAUAUUUAUCUUGAACUAAUAAUAUCCAUCAUUUGACUGAGA